UACGGAGGGGGCUAGCGUUGUCCGAAGUUACUGGGCGUAAAGCGCGCGUAGGCGGGUUGGUAAGUCCGCUGUGAAAGCCCGGAGCUCAACUCCGGAGGGUCGGUGGAUACUGCCAGUCUUGAAGGUGCUAGGGGGAGAUGGAAUUACCGGUGUAGCGGUGAAAUGCGUAGAUAUCGGUAGGAACACCAGUGGCGAAGGCG
RNAcentral lists this ribosomal RNA (200 nucleotides) under uncultured bacterium. Its description in RNAcentral is "partial 16S ribosomal RNA". It matches the Rfam family "Bacterial small subunit ribosomal RNA", at positions 524 to 723 of the family's 1533-position model. The record is from RNAcentral.